GGGGUUGUGGUUUAGUGGUAUAAUGUUCCUUUAGCAUAGGAGAGGUCCGGCGUUCGAUUCGCCGCUACUCCA
This is a transfer RNA of Sclerotinia borealis F-4128, 72 nucleotides long. It matches the Rfam family "tRNA". From Rfam's summary of the family: Transfer RNA (tRNA) molecules are approximately 80 nucleotides in length. NCBI's taxonomy places the organism in Eukaryota, Fungi, Ascomycota, Leotiomycetes, Helotiales, Sclerotiniaceae. The record is from Rfam.